Suricata suricatta (meerkat) is the source of this 885-nucleotide long non-coding RNA. RefSeq lists it as uncharacterized. The transcript has 4 exons. Lineage: Eukaryota; Metazoa; Chordata; Mammalia; Carnivora; Herpestidae. The record is from RefSeq and is a predicted model, not a curated record.
GUGAGGGACCAGAGCCCGAGGGCCGGCCGGUCCCGCGCAGGGACAGCCCGUCCUGGCCCCGCACCCGGGCUGAGCAGACGGGAACGAACGCGAGAAGCUUAUCUGCCCGAGGCACGAAAUCAGAGCUGGAGAGUCAGGGCCCCGGCCCUCGAGGGACCCCACCCGCGUGCUCUGCCCGGCAGCCGGCGAGGUCUGGGCUCCGUGGAGGAUACCAGGCAGGUCUCGAGCGGCACCAAGGAGGAGACAGGCCCCGGCCCCCAGGUGCCCGGGGUAGGGUUGGGGUUCCCGCCGGCCCGCCAGAAUGCACCAGCUCACAGGGGCCCGACCACCGCUCCUCACUCUUCUGCCGUCAGCCGGGGGCCCAGGCAGUGGGAGCGCCGCACGGCAGCCGGCCGGCCACGCACAGGAUUCCUCUGGAGAAAAACAGAAACGGAAGCAGGAUCUGGGCUCAUAAACGUACAGAAAGUCCCGGAACGUCAGUGCCAAGUUGCUGCUGGUGCUCACCAGGCAGGAGUCCUUGCCCCCGUCUGAAGAGGUCGACCUGAAGUCAGAGCCUCACACGGCCGCGAGGGGGGAGCAGGGACACACAGGACUCAGCGAGGGUCCCCACACACUGAUGCCAAGAACACAGCUACCUGCUUGGAGUCCCGCCAAGAGCCCAGGGCCCCCUGCUACUGGCCGAGGGUUUAAUCAGCAAGGGAUCCCCGACUCGGGUUUCACGGCUCACCUGCCAGCCGGAGGACCUGGCGGCCACUGAGGGCGGGGCACAGAGGCACCCCCCAGAGGGACCCUGCCACGCCCUCGCACGGCCCUCAGGCUGGGGGCAGCUGGCAGCCACACGUGGCCCCAGGCUGCAACAAGCUUCCCUUUUGGUGAAAUGGAGUG